This 237-nucleotide ribosomal RNA is filed under the name uncultured bacterium. RNAcentral describes it as "partial 16S ribosomal RNA". It matches the Rfam family "Bacterial small subunit ribosomal RNA", at positions 100 to 334 of the family's 1533-position model. The record is from RNAcentral.
CCGGCACGGGUGAGUAACACGUAUCCAACCUGCCGUCUACUCUUGGACAGCCUUCUGAAAGGAAGAUUAAUACAAGAUGGCAUCAUAAGUCCGCAUGUUCACAUGAUUAAAGGUAUUCCGGUAGACGAUGGGGAUGCGUUCCAUUAGAUAGUAGGCGGGGUAACGGCCCACCUAGUCUUCGAUGGAUAGGGGUUCUGAGAGGAAGGUCCCCCACAUUGGAACUGAGACACGGUCCAA